Molecule: transfer RNA, 64 nt
Filed under: Amblythyreus gestroi
Lineage: Eukaryota; Metazoa; Arthropoda; Insecta; Hemiptera; Phymatidae
Description: tRNA-Glu
Source: RNAcentral
AUUUGAGUAGUUAAAAAAUAACAUUUCAUUUUCAAUGAAAAGUCAGAUAAAUCUCUCUUAAAUA